UUAAUGUUAUGGGUCACACUCCUGCUGCCUCUCAUCCUGCUGUGUGCUCUGCUGAGCUGCGGGCGCGGCUGCAGGACAUCUGCAAUCUGCGCACCUGCCCGUGAUGAGCGACCAGCCUUCAUAAGCCAGCGCGUCUUGAGAUCCGGUGCCGGAACGUAGCUUCUCGUACCCAGCACACUUCCCGUCGUCCUUCCUCGUCGUUGAGAUGUGUGUUUCGUCUCCCUGGACCCCCUUUGGAUUCCCUCUUGCCUUCCUGGACUUUGACCUCACGCCUGCCUACUGGCCACGACGACCUGACGUACGAGCCUGCUUUGCCCAUAUUGGACUUCCGCCUCCAUCUCAACACGCACCCUCAGCACCCUCUGGUAACCACGCUCAGAUAAUACUCACACAUAGUCACACGACAUAUCUUUGGGUUAAUCCCACACUGCACUCACAUAUUGUGCUGUCAAUAAACACCCUGACAGCAGACGA
Nerophis lumbriciformis (worm pipefish) is the source of this 474-nucleotide long non-coding RNA. RefSeq lists it as uncharacterized. Lineage: Eukaryota; Metazoa; Chordata; Actinopteri; Syngnathiformes; Syngnathidae. The record is from RefSeq and is a predicted model, not a curated record.